RNAcentral lists this ribosomal RNA (699 nucleotides) under Shewanella decolorationis. RNAcentral describes it as "partial 16S rRNA". Lineage: Bacteria; Pseudomonadati; Pseudomonadota; Gammaproteobacteria; Alteromonadales; Shewanellaceae. The record is from RNAcentral.
UUGUCCAGGGGGCCGCCUUCGCCACCGGUAUUCCUCCAGAUCUCUACGCAUUUCACCGCUACACCUGGAAUUCUACCCCCCUCUACAAGACUCUAGUUUGCCAGUUCGAAAUGCAAUUCCCAGGUUGAGCCCGGGGCUUUCACAUCUCGCUUAACAAACCGCCUGCGCACGCUUUACGCCCAGUAAUUCCGAUUAACGCUUGGACCCUCCGUAUUACCGCGGCUGCUGGCACGGAGUUAGCCGGUCCUUCUUCUGUAGGUAACGUCACAGCUGCAAGGUAUUAACUUACAACCUUUCCUCCCUACUGAAAGUGCUUUACAACCCGAAGGCCUUCUUCACACACGCGGCAUGGCUGCAUCAGGGUUUCCCCCAUUGUGCAAUAUUCCCCACUGCUGCCUCCCGUAGGAGUCUGGGCCGUGUCUCAGUCCCAGUGUGGCUGAUCAUCCUCUCAGAACAGCUAGGGAUCGUCGCCUUGGUGAGCCAUUACCUCACCAACUAGCUAAUCCCACCUAGGUUCAUCCAAUCGCGGAAGGCCCGAAGGUCCCCUCCUUUCCCCCGUAGGGCGUAUGCGGUAUUAGCAGUCGUUUCCAACUGUUAUCCCCCACGACUGGGCAGAUCCCUAGGCAUUACUCACCCGUCCGCCGCUCGCCACCUCAGGAGUAAACUCCCUUGUGCUGCCGCUCGACUUGCAUGUGUUAG